This is a non-coding RNA of Camellia sinensis, 4624 nucleotides long. Lineage: Eukaryota; Viridiplantae; Streptophyta; Magnoliopsida; Ericales; Theaceae. The record is from RefSeq and is a predicted model, not a curated record.
AUUGGGGUCCCUCAAGAUUACUUUUAAAAAAAAAAAAAUAUCACGAGUAGGCCCAAUAAACUACCAAAGACAACCUCGUUGUCAAACAAUUUGGUUCAUCAAGAAUCGGCGAUUUGGGACGGUUCUAGCAGCGGCGAUCUCCAUCGACGCGGUGGUUCUCCGGCGUGGGGAAGAGGCGUGAUACCUAGUGCUUUGGUAAUCUUUCAAGGGAGACUCUUGGGGAAACCUACCCCACACGCGCCAUUAUGACUGAUGUGGGCCAAAGCAAACUGGGAAAAGCUAGCGGGUCCACCUUAAAACCCCGGCUUCCACUUGAAUGUAACGGGGAUUCAAACCUUGGCAGCAAGGAGAGGAGUAAACUCCUUUACCACUAGGGCGGCCAUUGCGGUGAAUAUGGCGAUAUUAAGCCUGAUAAUCUCUUGGUCACUGCUGCUGGUACAGUGAAGAUUGGGGACUUAAGUGUCAGCCAGGUUUUUAAGUUUUCAAUUUCAAUUUAGUUUGAUGAAGCUCAGAAGUAAUUUAGAUCUUGAAUUAAAAGAUACUCUGGUAAUGCAUCUAUACAAGCCCUUUUAUAUCUUUUAGUUUUUUUUUUUUUCUCUCUCUCUCUCUCUCUCUCUCUCUCUCUCUCUUCCCUUCCUUUGAAUGCUGCCACAUCUGUAAUCUCCUUGUAAAUUAAACACUUCCAUCAAUGAACAAAACUCUAAGGUGUGUCAUGAGCUCAAUAAUUUGAAGCAUAAAUGCUUCAAUUUAAAGAAAGCAAAAAGACGCUUUAUAUCUAUAUCAAUUUUGCUUUGAUAAUGCAAGUGGUAGCUUUGCAUUGUUCUCCCUACUCUGUCGACAUGCAAGACUUAGCAUUCUGCCCAAUCAAUAAGACACAGAUGAGACGCUGUCUUCAUAUGCUAUAGAAAGAUCAGCCGAAACAUGGAAGAGUUCUAUUAUGAGGUCAUUCUUCGAGUAGCAUCUCAAGGGUCUAUUGAUUUUUGUUUUGCUUGGAACGUCUAUGGCAAUUGGUGAUGGUAUACUCACUCCUGCUAUAUCAGGUAGCUGAUAUUGAUAUUGCAGUGCUUUCUUCUUUCUUGUUUUAAACCUUGAUAUCCGUAAUGAAUAUAAAAUUCUAAAUUCAAUCGUUCAAUUCAGCCAAUCACCAAAAAAGAUAAAUAAAUAAAUAAAUCUCUAGCCUAGUGGUUGGUUGGAUUUUAACAAUGGAUUUCAAUUUGAGUUAUAUAAAUUUAUUUACUAACAUAAAAAUCAUAUGCGUUGUCUAGCAAAUGACAUGUCCAAACCUAUACUUGGAUGAACACUGCUCCUUAACACAUACCUUCAGCAGAGCUCUAUUUUGUAUAGCUAUAUGUAAUACAUGUAUUUCAAAUCUACUUCUAUCAUUCUUUUACAUUCAUCACUCGUGGAAAGGAGAAAAUGUGAUUUUUCUUUUCUUUUCUUUAUUUUUCCCUCAACAAUAACAUGGAAAAGUAAUGGUUGGCCAUUGUUGAAUUUGAGUUGGCUUUAGAUUUAAUAGGAUAAGUUCUCCAUUUGGACUUAUGAAGUUGAAAAUCUCUCAAUAUUCUCUUGAAGUAGGUUGUCUGCCUAUGUUCUUAUUGAUGAUUUUGCUCAUAGAGAUAAUAACGUAAUUUAAAUUUACUCUUUGGCAUGGACCAACUGAAUUUGUGACAAGGGGUAAGCAUAUUCAUGAUGUAACAAAAAUUAUGGGGGUAAAGUAAAGAAUCUUAACCAAAGAUUGUGUUACUGGAAUUAUUUUUUAGUGUGCAAGAGUGAAAAUGACAGUUCUUCUGUCUGUUUACAUGCCUAACAGUUGUGUUUUAUAUGAGUUCUAUGAUGGAAAUUUUUCUCUCUUUUUCCACUGAAUUCUAAAUGAUGAAACACAAAUUCCAAGUCAAAACGGAUAUGUGAAGGAUUUUUCAAUUCCAUGUACAGGGACUUCUCUAUCUGUUCUAUUUUUAGAAAGGUUGUAUUUUCAGGAUUACAGUUCCAUUAUUUUAAGAGAUUUGCAUGUUUCCUUUUUUUUUUUAGUUCUUUUAGCAAUUUCAGGUGUUAAACUUAAAUUCACAGGACUUCAUGAGAGUAAGUUUAGUUCUUUGUUACCUUUAUGUUAUGUUUGGAUCUUGGAUGUGCAGGCAAAGGGGAAGAAGGAAAAAAAAAAGCCUCUACUUCAUUUAAUUUUCUCUUACCUUUUCUUUUCUCUCCACAAAUCUAAGAUCCAAACACAACCUUAAAUAUAACAUUAUCACGUGGAAUCCGCAUAUAUUUCAUGCACUUUUUCCAGUUUACAUGUUGAAGUUCCUCAGAAGCACUGGUAUUGAAGGUUGGGUGUCCCUAGGGGGCAUGGUUCUCUCAAUCACAGGUAACGUUUUUAGUGCUUCUGAUAUAAUUUAGUUGUAUACUUGCUAAUGAAUAAGGCUACUGGAAACUUGUUUUCUUCAUAUUAUUUACCAAAUGCUGGUUGUUUCAUGAAGUGUGUUUCAAAAACACUAGGCUGAAUAAAAACAAGUUCAAAAGUGCUUGGUUUGUUAAUUUGUUUCGAAAGACUUGGGUUUGGUUAAAAAAGAAAAAGAAGCUCAAUUAUAUUGCUCAUCUUUUCCUAUUGUUUGCUCCAACAUUUCUUUAUCUGAAUUAUGAUUCUUCGAAGAGCAAUAUGUGAAUUUCCGUAUUCUAGAAGCCAUAUGUGUGUUAGAUAUCAAUUUUAACAAGAUAAACCUAGGGCAGAGUAGUGAUUAUAUAUACUUUUUUUAUCCGUUCUUUGUCCCUUCCUUUCUCACUGAUCAUUAAUCUCAAAAUUUGGUUUCAAAGGCCACAAGAUACGAGGUCUUGAAAGUUGCUAGCAAACCAAAAUACGGGACAUUGGAAUCUGAUUGAAAGGUACAAUAUAAUGCUUCAAUCACCCAUUCUAUUGUUAAUGGCUACUAACCUAGGAAUACAUAUAUUACAUGUAUAUAUAUAUAUAUAUAUAUAUUUCCACAAAUUACUUUGAUGAUGAUUGGAUUGUAGAUGAACAACAUGAAUAUGUAGAAGUAACUUCAAAGUAUAAUGUAAUAGUUAAGGCUUAUAUCAAGGAAAUGGGAAAUCUAUGCUUUGUAAACAUUUUGAUGUAUACGAUCUUUUCUUGAUUAUUGUAAAACUAAUAAAAAUUAAAGGCACCUCAUUUAGUAUAUGUUCUGAUUUUUCUUUUUGCAUUAAUUACUACAGACUGAAAAGUGGAAUGAGCAACAGGAGAAUGGGAUUUUCGUAGGGCCUCUUUAAUUGAACAUCUUCACUUGGCAUGGAGUUUUUCAGAUAGUAUUUUUUUGCUUUGUUUGAAGCUAGUUAUUUGGUUUUAUUUGAAACUUAAUGGAUUAAUAAGGCUCCCGAGACUCUUCUUGAACAUUGACACUUGAUUAUUGUUUGUGAGCAAGUUACUUAAGAGCUUGGAAGGGGUAUGGUGUGUUUCUUCUUCUUUUUUUUUUCUUUGUUAUUUUUAUUUAUUUAUUUAUUUUUUUUUUUCAUUUUCAAUGUUUUUUAUGUUGCCAAGUCCCAUUUCACCUCUUGAACGUUACAUUGUUAUGUUUCUUGUUGAUGCUUAAUGGAUAGUGUUUUGGCCAUAGCUAUUCCCAGAUUUUUAAUGUUAUACUGUAUUUUUUUUUUUGGUGCGAUGGUAAUAGGAUGGUCGCUAAUACAUUGUAGGUAUUUUUAAAACUUUUUUGUGAUGGCAAAACAUUAGUCGCCAUAAGUAGGUUAGAUGGUCGCAAAUAGUUUGCGAUUGUUGUUUUACGGUCGCAAAAGUAUUUGUCACCCCUACAUUCGCGACCUCUAUUUGCCGUUGCAUGACCUAUCGCAAAAGAUAUUUUGCGGUUGUAUUUUUAUUAUUUGCAGUGGCUUAUAGCGGUUACAAAAAGUAGUUUUAGUAGUGUCAAUUGACCAUGGAUUUGAACAAUAGCUGCUUUGAAUUGCUUGAAUUUUGGAUGAUUACUCAUUGUUUGAACAUUGAUUCCAUACCAUGACUCAUUGUUCUUUACAAUUUUCCUUGAGUGCUUGAUCAAUUGCCCAUGAAUUGCCCAUGUCUUUGGAUUAUUCACAAUUUUGCCACAUGCCCCAUUGAUUGAAUGAAACUUGAACCAUGAAUUUCAACUUGAUUUGGGUAUUUGAAUAAAAUUUCCAUGACUGAACACAAAUUCCUUACUUCAACCUUGAAUUCACAUUGUCGAUUUUUUUUUUACGCGUUGUCCUCAGUUUAACAUUGUUGAAAUUAAAUCUCGAGAUUUUCUUCAAUUUACCACUGAUUUUGCAUUUUUCUUCCAAAAUUUUAACAAUGUUAGAACAUUUCAAUCACUAUUCCAAAUUUUCCCUUUUGACUGAUGUUUUGAUUGCUAUAACUUGGGUUGGGAUUUCUCGUACUCUUUCUUUGAUUCCACAGAUUGUCAUGGCUAGUGACGAUGCUCUGCACGAUAUUGUACCACUUACUAUCGUCGCAGAAGGUGACCUACCAUCACCUGUGCCUAGAGAUGAUAUUCCUGCACUUGUCGCAGAUGUUGAGGGACACGAUGAGGAUAUCAUGGCCGAGGAUUUUGAUGCAGCACCAGAACUAGUCCCUUUGAGGGUAAGGCCAUUUGAUCAUGUGGCCUACAAACCUCGU